RNAcentral lists this long non-coding RNA (2800 nucleotides) under Triticum aestivum (bread wheat). RNAcentral describes it as "long non-coding RNA (TAES_LNC020231)". The record is from RNAcentral. Lineage: Eukaryota; Viridiplantae; Streptophyta; Magnoliopsida; Poales; Poaceae.
AUCAACAUCCCUACAACUUGAACUAAAACUUAAUCGAGGAACAACAUCCAACAGGAACAACAUCCCUACAACUUAACUAAUCCUGAAAGCAUCCACCGUCAUCAUCAUCAUUGCAGUAUACUUGCCACGCACCCAUAUAAUCAUCCAUAUAUCUUUUGAAUCUGCAAAGAAAAUAGAAAAAUGAACUGUUAACACACAAUGAAUUGACAUGAUGCAAGUAUUGAUAGAGGAAAGAUAUUAAACGCCUACAAAGGUUGAAGGUCAUGCAAUCUUUGUUUUAAUGCAUUACCGAGUAUUGUCGUUUUCAUGACUCAGCACCAAAUCUUCAGUUUUCAAAAGUGCCACAUUGACAUGCACUACCCAAAAUCCAUUUGUAAUUUCAGCACCAUCAAGAUUAAAUUUGGGACCACAACUUACAACUAUAGCAAGAGUUACAUACCUGUUAUGAUUAUCAAAAGACACCGGCAUUCAAGGGCAAUGUGAGUGACAGUACCACUUCUCUUCUCUUCUCUCUAGUUAGUUAACAAACUGAAAGAAAACGGUUUUAGCCAUCUGAAACUGAACAAAAACAUUUAGCUCUAGUUGGUUUCAGUCAUCCAACAGGAAACAGACAAACCUAUGGGUGCUCACAGCGCUUUGGAACAAACCUACAGCCCCAAAUAAACUGAAUUGAAUUUACAUGGUCAUCAGCAGCCUAGAGAUCCAUUGCUAAUUCUGUACACCUAUAGUCAAAGCUUUUUUGUGUGAACCAACUGAUAUAUUUAUCCACUGAAACCUACAGCCCCAAAUCCUAUAAAUUUGCAUGGACAUCAGCAUAGAUACUAGCAUGGCUCAAUGGCCGUGGACACAACGAGUAGUAGCACGGUAGGGAGAGGGAGAGAGUAUACCAACCAUGGCAUCGUCCAUGACAUGCUCCACUUACUCGACUUGCUCCAUGGCGUCCCCCUGCAUAGAGUUGGUGUGUGUGGCUGUAAAACCAAAGGAAAAAGGUCACAUGUAUAUUCCUCAAGAACAGCGCAACACAAGUAAACCUUCAUCAAGUUCCAUUCUUUCUAAAUAAAAGAAGAGCAAGCUAUAUUCCUCCGUUCUAUGUGUCCUAGUUACUACCUUGCCAACUUUACAUGUCGCUCAAUGAAUUUAUCCCCGAGUUAGUAAGACUAGUCAUCAACCCAUGCGUCUCCAUGGGCUAGACAAUUUCAGUUUGCCAUAUUUAACUCAAACAUUUUUAUGUAAGAAAAAUAAUAUUAUUACCAUCAAUUGAAAAAAAACAUACUUUGACUAAUUGAGAAAUAUUACAUGUGUACUGUGUUGGUUUCCAUGUGGCUGAAAUAAAUUUAUUUUAAUAAAGGCAUUUAUACAUACUAUUUAUCAUUCCUAUAAAUAAAGUUUCCAAAUUAUAAUUUAUAUGAAAAAGUCAGGGAUCCGAGGUUGGUAAAUAUACAGAGGAUACUGGUCAAUAUUGUAAUUUCCUUUAAUUACAUAGCAGAAGUCUAAAUCUUGUGUGCUCCUAAAAUUAGCUGUCUAGAAACCCCAAAUGGGUCCCGUGCUUUAGUGAGUUCGGUUAAAGAAAACAAAACCACACUUUUAAGUUAACAAAAAAAACUAAAGCUAAUGUACAUGAAUAUCUGCUUAUAUAUAUGCAAAGCUUCAUUAAGAACUUUUUUCUGAAAUAAACACGUACAUCACUCAAAUCUUCUACAUAAGAAACAUAUCAAAUGAUUAUGAUAAGCCACCUAUAAACAUCAAAGUGAAAUGGCUGGCUGGGGCAGCAGUGCAGCCCUAAUGUUUGGAACUUUGAUUAUGUGGUGCUGCUGGAGGCGAUUGGAGCUGCAGACCACCCCAACAAGAUGCAUUCACUGCCUACAACACAAUCAAGUCAAGAGGAGUACUCAUCAAUACACACGUACAAAAAGAUAUUUUUUCUUGAUAAAACAACAAUGAUCAAGUCGAUUGCAUAGUUUUCUUCUGUUAUGAGCUUAUAAAGGAUGGAGACUAGAACACGAAUUGACAGCCUCGCCGUUGAAGAUGUGUGCGGCCACCUAAUAUGCUCCUAAUUGCCAUCGCUACACCUCCGCCGCCACAUGAACCAUCUUUAGAUUGAUUUAGUAAUCAGCCUAAAAGAAUAUAUGUUGGGCUUUUGCAUGGCCGGGAUGAUUUGAAGUCACUAAUGCUCCUGAUGUGGCAUGAACCAGAGCAGAGAGGAGGAGUGGACCAACUCACCUGAAGGGGGAGGAGGAAAGCUCCAUGACUGCUUUGUCCCGAGCAACAACAAGGCUGUCCACAUGCCAUUGCUCCCUGCACGUCUAAACGAGUAGAGAAGAGAAGGGCAGAGGUUAGAGAAAGGGGGGAGAGGGGACGAAUCCAGGGGAGGGGGUGCACUCACCGGACGAGAGGAGGACGACAUGGCCACCAGCGAUGGAGCUGAUGCCCGAAACCCUAGCCAUGGGGGAGGACAGGUCGCGGGUGGGCUUUGGUGGCCAUGAGCACCGGAUCUAGCCGGCUGAGAGGACACUGUGGUGUGAGGGGACCCUGAUCUGUGCUUCGCGGUAACAGAAUUCGCCGGACAUCGCCUGAUUCAGCCGCCGCAUGUGGCGCAGCGAGGAGCUGCGUGCAGAGAGAGAUGGGACGCGAGAGGGAUGGGUGGGUGGGGAUGCGGCGGAUCCGGCAGCCUCUGGAGUUGCAAGGUGGGAGGAGCCGAGGUGGGGAGAGGGGCGGCCGACGGCGACGUGGGUCGGAGGGAGAGGAUAAGGUGAUUGGUAGCGAUUUGGGAGAUUAGGGGAAUCGGGGGUCUCAGUUUCUC